CAACAAUGGGUCACACCAAGGAGCAGAAACCUAUCUCUGCUCAGGUAUCGGAGCACAGAGCGCUGCGUCUGCCCAGGCCUUCCUUCCGGAAGGGACCACUGAGAUUUGAAAUAAACAAAGUGCGGACGUGGGGGGAGCCCCGAAGGCAGCAUCAGAGAGAUUCAAACGACCACUGUUACAAGGAAGAAAUGAAGAGGUGACCACAUGGCAUAAUGCAAAUAACAAACUGGCACAGUGGCAAGGGCAAAGGUAAGAUUUCAGGACAAGCAAAUCCCUAAGCAGGCAGUAAUCUCUCUUGCAUGAACACAGAAGAGAUGAGCAGGACUACCUCUGGUGAAAACCUUAAAUAUCACAAGACUGUGGGUAGUGGUGUCACACGUGCUAAGGGAAAAUAAGAAGCAGUUCCACACGGAAAUCCUCAAAAGUUUCUGGAUUAACAGUUAUCCCCAUUAAGAGUAAAAGCCACAGGCUAGCUGAAGAAUUCACUCAUGUUCUGUAUAGAGCAAGGCUCCACCUUCAGCACAUCAGUGAAGUGGAUGUGACAAGAGCACCUGGAAUUUAUUCCCAGAUCA
This is a long non-coding RNA of Serinus canaria (Common canary), 572 nucleotides long. RefSeq lists it as uncharacterized. The record is from RefSeq and is a predicted model, not a curated record. The transcript has 3 exons. NCBI's taxonomy places the organism in Eukaryota, Metazoa, Chordata, Aves, Passeriformes, Fringillidae.